CACAUGCAAGUCGAGGGGUAUAUGUCUUCGGAUAUAGAGACCGGCGCACGGGUGCGUAACGCGUAUGCAAUCUACCUUUUACAGAGGGAUAGCCCAGAGAAAUUUGGAUUAAUACCUCAUAGUAUAGCUCUACCGCAUGGUAGUACUAUUAAAGUCACAACGGUAAAAGAUGAGCAUGCGUCCCAUUAGCUAGUUGGUAAGGUAACGGCUUACCAAGGCAACGAUGGGUAGGGGUCCUGAGAGGGAGAUCCCCCACACUGGUACUGAGACACGGACCAGACUCCUACGGGAGGCGGCAGUGAGGAAUAUUGGACAAUGGGCGCAAGCCUGAUCCAGCCAUGCCGCGUGCAGGAUGACGGUCCUAUGGAUUGUAAACUGCUUUUGUACGAGAAGAAACACUGCUUCGUGAAGCAGCUUGACGGUAUCGUAAGAAUAAGGAUCGGCUAACUCCGUGCCAGCAGCCGCGGUAAUACGGAGGAUCCAAGCGUUAUCCGGAAUCAUUGGGUUUAAAGGGUCCGUAGGCGGUUUAGUAAGUCAGUGGUGAAAGCCCAUCGCUCAACGGUGGAACGGCCAUUGAUACUGCUGAACUUGAAUUAUUAGGAAGUAACUAGAAUAUGUAGUGUAGCGGUGAAAUGCUUAGAGAUUACAUGGAAUACCAAUUGCGAAGGCAGGUUACUACUAAUUGAUUGACGCUGAUGGACGAGAGCGUGGGGAGC
This 716-nucleotide ribosomal RNA is filed under the name uncultured Flavobacterium sp. RNAcentral's name for it is "bacterial SSU rRNA". It matches the Rfam family "Bacterial small subunit ribosomal RNA", at positions 52 to 769 of the family's 1533-position model. Lineage: Bacteria; Pseudomonadati; Bacteroidota; Flavobacteriia; Flavobacteriales; Flavobacteriaceae. The record is from RNAcentral.